GUCCUCCCUGUAGCUCAGUGGUUUGAGCAUCCAACAGGUGUGCGGAAGGUCAUGGGUUCGACUCCCGUCGAGGACA
This is a non-coding RNA of Desmophyllum pertusum, 76 nucleotides long. The record is from the annotation of a GenBank genome assembly. NCBI's taxonomy places the organism in Eukaryota, Metazoa, Cnidaria, Anthozoa, Scleractinia, Caryophylliidae.